UCGCCUCUGCCUUGUUGCUGAAGUUCUUUUGGUUGAAAGUGGGACCACUGGAUUUCUCGGACAGGUGAGGUGACCAAAUAUCAUGGUUUUUGUCUCUAUAUCUUUGCAUCUCCCUUGUCACUAAUGCCCGUGGGUAUUUUUAAGCUUGUCUUUUGUAUUUUGCUCAUAGUACUCCUGUUACAAGGUGGCCAGUGUGCUAACCGUUGGUGGUCCCUUUUCAUUUUAUUAGUAAGAUAGAAGAAAUAUUUACCCUAGGUGUACAACCUUCCAGUUGAGAUGGCCAUUGUGUACACUCUGAUAACAUGAGAGAGUUGGCAUUUCUAUGGGUAAAUGUUAGUGCCUAAACUGGUUUGUGUAGCUUCUGAACCCCAACCAGGCACCAAUUGAAUCCUUCCGUUGCAAGUUGAUGAGCCCUUAAUAUGAGAAAGAGGACAUUUCUAUGGUGUAGGGCCUAAAUUUAAUGACCUUGGUUUGGUGCUUCUCAUAGUUUCCUUUUUCCAGAUUAAUGCCAAUUUAAAAAAAAUCAGCAAAUGUUCGUACAAAGAAUUCAGUAAGUACAAGAAAGAUUACAAAUAUUUGGCAGCUCGCAUCCAGCGUGCCCCUAGACGCACAUUCCAUUUCUGCAAUCGGUGGAUGUCUGUCAAGUUAGAAAUUACUUCCCUUUCCCAACAAGAUCAUGGAUGGUACAAUGCGGGUGGUUGCUGAGUUGUGCAUUAAAGACCAUGCAAUGUCAAGCG
Molecule: long non-coding RNA, 737 nt
Organism: Triticum dicoccoides
Lineage: Eukaryota; Viridiplantae; Streptophyta; Magnoliopsida; Poales; Poaceae
Exons: 3
Source: RefSeq, a predicted model, not a curated record